CUCUCUCUCAAUUUAGGGUGCACUGCACUUAUGCAACCUUGUAAGUUUGGGAUUCUCUCGAAGCAGAGUCUCUGUUUGAGGCUCACAGCUUUUCGUUUGAGCGUCAGUAGAAGCCUAGAAGGGACAGAAGUUUUGAAGGAUGAACAAUUCCUUGAAAACAUAAUCCAAGUAUUUUUGGCCAGCAAUCCCAUACGUGAACCUCAACAGCCUAGCAUUAGCAUCGUAUAUAAUACUUUUAAAUAUUG
Molecule: long non-coding RNA, 245 nt
Organism: Arachis duranensis
Lineage: Eukaryota; Viridiplantae; Streptophyta; Magnoliopsida; Fabales; Fabaceae
Exons: 3
Source: RefSeq, a predicted model, not a curated record